RNAcentral lists this ribosomal RNA (292 nucleotides) under uncultured bacterium. Its description in RNAcentral is "partial 16S ribosomal RNA". It matches the Rfam family "Bacterial small subunit ribosomal RNA", at positions 505 to 796 of the family's 1533-position model. The record is from RNAcentral.
GUGCCAGCCGCCGCGGUAAGACGUAGGAGGCGAGCGUUAUCCGGAUUCACUGGGCGUAAAGCGCAUGUAGGCGGUUCGAUAAGUCCGUUGUUAAAGCCCCUGGCUCAACUGGGGGAGGUCAAUGGAGACUAUCGGACUUGAGGGCAACAGAGGCACAUGGAACUCCCGGUGUAGCGGUGGAAUGCGUAGAGAUCGGGAAGAACACCCGUGGCGAAGGCGGUGUGCUGGGUUGCAACUGACGCUGAGAUGCGAAAGUGUGGGGAGCAAACGGGAUUAGAUACCCGUGUAGUCC